RNAcentral lists this ribosomal RNA (253 nucleotides) under uncultured bacterium. Its description in RNAcentral is "partial 16S ribosomal RNA". It matches the Rfam family "Bacterial small subunit ribosomal RNA", at positions 524 to 776 of the family's 1533-position model. The record is from RNAcentral.
GACAGAGGUCCCGAGCGUUAUGCGGAAUCACUGGGCUUAAAGCGUGUGUAGGCGGAUGCCUAAGUACCUUGUGAAAUCCCACGGCUUAACCGUGGAACUGCUUGGUAUACUGGGUGUCUUGAGCCACCUAGGGGCGAGCGGAACAAACGGUGGAGCGGUGAAAUGCGUAGAUAUCGUUUGGAACGCCAAUGGUGAAAACAGCUCGCUGGGGGUGUGCUGACGCUGGGACACGAAAGCCAGGGGAGCGAACGGG